GGGCUAGUAGCGUAGGGGUUAUCGCGUUCGCUUUGCAUGCGAAAGGUCUCCGGUCCAAAUCCGGACUAGUCCA
Molecule: transfer RNA, 73 nt
Filed under: Collybiopsis luxurians FD-317 M1
Lineage: Eukaryota; Fungi; Basidiomycota; Agaricomycetes; Agaricales; Omphalotaceae
Description: tRNA-Ala (TGC) (tRNA-Ala-TGC-4-1)
Rfam family: tRNA
About the family: Transfer RNA (tRNA) molecules are approximately 80 nucleotides in length. Their secondary structure includes four short double-helical elements and three loops (D, anti-codon, and T loops).
Source: RNAcentral